This 430-nucleotide ribosomal RNA is filed under the name uncultured bacterium. Its description in RNAcentral is "bacterial SSU rRNA". It matches the Rfam family "Bacterial small subunit ribosomal RNA", at positions 355 to 776 of the family's 1533-position model. The record is from RNAcentral.
UGGGGAAUCUUGGACAAUGGGGGAAACCCUGAUCCAGCGACGCCGCGUGGGUGAUGAAGGCCUUCGGGUCGUAAAGCCCUGUCGGGGGGGAAGAAACUCCUGCCGGUGAAUAAUCGGCGGGAUUGACGGUACCCCCUAAGGAAGCACCGGCUAACUCUGUGCCAGCAGCCGCGGUAAGACAGAGGGUGCAAGCGUUGUUCGGAAUUACUGGGCGUAAAGGGCGCGUAGGCGGCCUGUUAAGUUCGGUGUGAAAGCCCCUGGCUCAACUGGGGAACUGCGCCGGAAACUGGCAGGCUAGAGUACCGGAGAGGAGGGUGGAAUUCCUGGUGUAGCGGUGAAAUGCGUAGAUAUCAGGAGGAACACCGGUGGCGAAGGCGGCCCUCUGGACGAGUACUGACGCUGAGGCGCGAAAGCGUGGGGAUCAAACAGG